Arabidopsis thaliana (thale cress) is the source of this 310-nucleotide long non-coding RNA. RefSeq annotates it as other RNA. The transcript has a single exon. Lineage: Eukaryota; Viridiplantae; Streptophyta; Magnoliopsida; Brassicales; Brassicaceae. The record is from RefSeq.
AUCUCGAACUUUGACAUAAGCCGCUAGGAAAUAUAUAUUUUAAUCACGAGGCGAGAUAAUUCGAAUUAAAAUGGACCCUCUCUAGUCUCUACUGCUUUUUUCAAUGUCUUAGCCGUUUGAAUAUUUUUGAAAAAAUAAAAGAAAAUAGGUUUCUCAUUUACGAAACUAACCUCUACAAGCCUACUUUAUUACGUGAGAAAGCCCUUUCCAAAUUCAAAUUCGAACAGCGCCUCAAAGUACAAAACAUAAAGAUGCAAUCUCAGCCGUCCAUUUCAUCUUCUUUCUUUUACAUUCCUUUCUCCGUCCUGCU